AUGGCUGACAUAAACUUACAGCACUCUGGGAGGCUCAAGAAUGUGGGGAUUGUUUUCAUUGAGGAUGGAGAGAUCAGUAAAGAGGACCUUGCAAAAGAAUUCUCUGAAAUCUACAAGACUAAUUGGCCAUGGCAGGUAAAUGCUCUUGACAAUUGGACAAUGCUAGCCAAAUUCCCACCUGAAAUUCCAGUAGAACCAGUAGCUGGAUACCCAUGUUUUGGCCUCCCCAGAAGCAAUGUCACUGUGAAUGUAGAGGUUUGGAAAGGAGAGAUUACUGCAACUGCAUCCCAACAAGUAGUCUGGCUGAAAAUCAAUCCAAAAUGGUGUGAAUGGGGCAUUCUUGACCAGAUCACAUCAGUGUUUGGCACUUUGGUUGAUGUAGAUUGGCAGUAUAGCUUCAACAGUUUCUUUGAGGUGAUUAGAGUCAAGAUCUCCUGUAGAGAUGCUAGCAAAAUCCCUAAGGAUAGAACCUUUGGCAUCAAUGGUAAAUUCUACAAGCUGCCUUUUGAGGUUGAGCCUUCUACUCAGGUGGAUAGAGAUGAUGAGAAUAGAGAUGGCACCAAUGAAGAUCUGCACAUUGGAGGGCAGGAUAUCCAAUCUGAUCCAGGAACCUCUCAUAGGACUGAAGACAACAGAUCCAGUAAAAGUACCAGGUCUGAACAAGGGGAGAAAAGUGGAAAUGACUCUGACCUUGGAAAGCAGGCAGUGCUGGCUUUCCUGCAGCAAAUGCCUGAUUCCUGCCCUUCUGCUGGAGUGGAACACCCCUCCCUCCUAAAGAGCCAGCUCCCACAAUCCCUCCAAAAAGCUAGGAAAACCAUGAUAGACAGAAUUGUUGAAGACUCUAUUUCUGAUGAGCAAUGUUACUCCAUUCUGAGGGAAAUGGAAAUGGAGGAAGACAACUUGUGCACUCUAGAUGUGAACAAUGAGAUGGGAGUUCCAAAUGACAGCACUUGGGGGAUGGGGGACAAUCAAACUUGCUUCCUCUAG
RNAcentral lists this ribosomal RNA (987 nucleotides) under Triticum aestivum (bread wheat). RNAcentral's name for it is "partial small subunit ribosomal RNA". The record is from RNAcentral. Lineage: Eukaryota; Viridiplantae; Streptophyta; Magnoliopsida; Poales; Poaceae.